CAACUUUCAGCAACGGAUCUCUUGGCUCUCGCAUCGAUGAAGAACGCAGCGAAAUGCGAUAAGUAAUGUAAAUUGCAGAAUUCAGUGAAUCAUCGAAUCUUUGAACGCACCUUGCGCUCCUUGGUAUUCCGAGGAGCAUGCCUGUUUGAGUGUCAUUA
This 158-nucleotide ribosomal RNA is filed under the name uncultured Cortinarius. RNAcentral's name for it is "5.8S ribosomal RNA". It matches the Rfam family "5.8S ribosomal RNA". Rfam says of the family: 5.8S ribosomal RNA (5.8S rRNA) is a component of the large subunit of the eukaryotic ribosome. It is transcribed by RNA polymerase I as part of the 45S precursor that also contains 18S and 28S rRNA. The record is from RNAcentral. Lineage: Eukaryota; Fungi; Basidiomycota; Agaricomycetes; Agaricales; Cortinariaceae.